Molecule: ribosomal RNA, 482 nt
Filed under: uncultured bacterium
Lineage: Bacteria
Description: partial 16S ribosomal RNA
Rfam family: Bacterial small subunit ribosomal RNA
Source: RNAcentral
AUUGAACGCUGGCGGCAUGCUUUACACAUGCAAGUCGAACGGUAACAGGCCGCAAGGUGCUGACGAGUGGCGAACGGGUGAGUAAUGCAUCGGAACGUGCCCAGCCGUGGGGGAUAACUACUCGAAAGAGUAGCUAAUACCGCAUACGAUCUAUGGAUGAAAGCGGGGGACCGUAAGGCCUCGCGCGAUUGGAGCGGCCGAUGUCAGAUUAGGUAGUUGGUGGUGUAAAGGCUCACCAAGCCAACGAUCUGUAGCUGGUCUGAGAGGACGACCAGCCACACUGGGACUGAGACACGGCCCAGACUCCUACGGGAGGCAGCAGUGGGGAAUUUUGGACAAUGGGCGCAAGCCUGAUCCAGCAAUGCCGCGUGCAGGAAGAAGGCCUUCGGGUUGUAAACUGCUUUUGUACGGAACGAAACGGCUCUGGUUAAUACCCGGGGCUAAUGACGGUACCGUAAGAAUAAGCACCGGCUAACUACGUG